RNAcentral lists this long non-coding RNA (871 nucleotides) under Danio rerio (zebrafish). Its description in RNAcentral is "lncRNA si:dkey-13k17.1 (ENSDARG00000095787.2)". The record is from RNAcentral. Lineage: Eukaryota; Metazoa; Chordata; Actinopteri; Cypriniformes; Danionidae.
GAUGAGCUGGUAGGGAGCAGGACCUGAGGAGCAGCUCUGACGGGUCGUGAGAUCUCUGAGGAGACCCCAUCUCAUGGCCGAUGAGCAAUUCAUCUGGAGUUAAUGUGCUGCAGCUGUGCUCUAAUGAGCUGAGGCCAGAGGAGAGACUCCACACCGCUGCGACACGCUCUGCAUUCAUCACUUCGACUCCUCCGUUUCACACAUCCAAAACCUGGAUAUCACACCAUCAGGCCACACGGGUCUCACACUGUCCACAGCUCCAACGUCACGUCUGUGUUUCUAGAUGUCGGAUUUCAGAUGCACCGCUUUUCUCCUCUUAAUCGUCCCUCAUUCCCUUCCCUGUGAUGGACACACGUGUGUUUUUUCCUGUCAGCAAUGAACAGUAAUCCUACAUGAACACAGACAGUUCACACACCAGUCAAGCCUGCAUGGCUGAUCUGAAGAGCUCUGAACUAACAACUCGAACAGAGCAUUACUGAUUUAAGUACCGUACAGUCAUCAGGGACACCAUGAUCUCAUUAGUAUUCAUAGCUAUUUGUAUGUUAAGUGCCAUUCGAGUGCAUACUGUACUUGUGUUUGUAUGUUUGCCAUUGUAUAUCUAAAAAGCUACAGUGUUUUAUGGAGGCCUUGUUGCAAUUGUAUAUGUCAGUACUGAGUAAUGUUAUUUAUUUUUUAAGAUUUGAUUCAGGGUUAUUGCAUAUGAUUAUGUAUCAAUUGCAAUUGUUAGUAUGUGAUGUGAACACUCAAAAAUAUGUAUGCUGUUUGUUCAAACUACCUAUUUAAAAUGAGCUGAAACAACACAAUUCUUGAGGUUUUUUUAUGUUCAAUUCACUUAAAUUUGUAUAAAAAAAUAAAAAAAACUAAUAAGCUA